Molecule: ribosomal RNA, 430 nt
Filed under: Bacteroidota bacterium
Lineage: Bacteria; Pseudomonadati; Bacteroidota
Description: Bacteroidetes bacterium partial 16S ribosomal RNA
Rfam family: Bacterial small subunit ribosomal RNA
Source: RNAcentral
UAGGGAAUCUUCGGCAAUGGGGGGAACCCUGACCGAGCAACGCCGCGUGAGUGAAGAAGGUUUUCGGAUCGUAAAGCUCUGUUGUUAAGGAAGAACGAGUGUGAGAAUGGAAAGUUCAUACUGUGACGGUACUUAACCAGAAAGGGACGGCUAACUACGUGCCAGCAGCCGCGGUAAUACGUAGGUCCCGAGCGUUGUCCGGAUUUAUUGGGCGUAAAGCGAGCGCAGGCGGUCAAUUAAGUCUGAUGUGAAAGCCCCCGGCUCAACCGGGGAGGGUCAUUGGAAACUGGUUGACUUGAGUGCAGAAGAGGAGAGUGGAAUUCCAUGUGUAGCGGUGAAAUGCGCAGAGAUAUGGAGGAACACCAGUGGCGAAGGCGACUUUCUGGUCUGUAACUGACGCUGAUGUGCGAAAGCGUGGGGAUCAAACAGG